AAAUGAAGCAAUAUUUACACCCCAAGUAAGAAAAGAAUAUUUGUAUGAUCAAUUGAGGAGGAAGGUGAACCCAAGUGCUGAAACAUGAGCAAUUUCACGCCUUUGCCAGGGCGUUGGAGGAGAGGUGUUAGAGCCUAUGAUGCUCACACAACCAACACCAGUGAAUCCAAUGAAGUGCCUGUGUAUUAUAGAUCUCACUCUACAAGGGUCAACCAGGAUGAGAGGAGUUCAGGUGUACUAGAUCUACUGCAGUGGUGGGAAGUCAGAACUCCUACAAGACACUACACUUUACCAAAGUAAGACCAAAUUGCAAACUAAUUUGCUUGCGUUGAGACUUCCCUAAUAGCAUUAGUGCAUGGAUCGGGCGGGACAUAAAUACUUCUAUACCCGCCCAAAAGAAGGAGUCAGCCAGACGAAGGAAGCCAUGGCGGGAACUGAUAAAACACUGAGGAUCCUCGCCCUCCCUUUUAGGCGGACCCGCAAGCCAGCUGGAAGAUUCUUUUGGAUUUGUCUUAUAUACAUAGGGAUUUGUGCCCUAGUUGUCAGGCCCAAAUGUAGGAAAAGUCCAUAUCAUGACCAACCUCUAUAAAAGGGAAGGUCAUCACCUUGUACUACCAACUUUUGAAUCAUUAAUGAGAAUUUACUCUUUUAUUACA
Molecule: long non-coding RNA, 656 nt
Organism: Lotus japonicus
Lineage: Eukaryota; Viridiplantae; Streptophyta; Magnoliopsida; Fabales; Fabaceae
Exons: 2
Source: RefSeq, a predicted model, not a curated record